Non-coding RNA from Trichobilharzia regenti, 45 nucleotides. The record is from Rfam. Lineage: Eukaryota; Metazoa; Platyhelminthes; Trematoda; Strigeidida; Schistosomatidae.
AUCCAGCUGACGAGUCCCGAAUGAGACGAAGUGCGCAUCCUGGAU